RNAcentral lists this ribosomal RNA (311 nucleotides) under Streptomyces sp. RNAcentral's name for it is "bacterial SSU rRNA". It matches the Rfam family "Bacterial small subunit ribosomal RNA", at positions 106 to 417 of the family's 1533-position model. The record is from RNAcentral. Lineage: Bacteria; Bacillati; Actinomycetota; Actinomycetes; Kitasatosporales; Streptomycetaceae.
GUGAGUAACACGAGGGCAAUCUGCCCUGCACUCUGGGACAAGCCCUGGAAACGGGGUCUAAUACCGGAUACGACCACUUCAGGCAUCUGAUGGUGGUGGAAAGCUCCGGCGGUGCAGGAUGAGCCCGCGGCCUAUCAGCUUGUUGGUGAGGUAACGGCUCACCAAGGCGACGACGGGUAGCCGGCCUGAGAGGGCGACCGGCCACACUGGGACUGAGACACGGCCCAGACUCCUACGGGAGGCAGCAGUGGGGAAUAUUGCACAAUGGGCGAAAGCCUGAUGCAGCGACGCCGCGUGAGGGAUGACGGCCU